This 83-nucleotide transfer RNA is filed under the name Candidatus Sungiibacteriota bacterium. RNAcentral's name for it is "tRNA-Ser". It matches the Rfam family "tRNA". From Rfam's summary of the family: Transfer RNA (tRNA) molecules are approximately 80 nucleotides in length. Their secondary structure includes four short double-helical elements and three loops (D, anti-codon, and T loops). Further hydrogen bonds mediate the characteristic L-shaped molecular structure. tRNAs have two regions of fundamental functional importance: the anti-codon, which is responsible for specific mRNA codon recognition, and the 3' end, to which the tRNAs corresponding amino acid is attached (by aminoacyl-tRNA synthetases). tRNAs cope with the degeneracy of the genetic code in two manners: having more than one tRNA (with a specific anti-codon) for a particular amino acid; and 'wobble' base-pairing, i.e. permitting non-standard base-pairing at the 3rd anti-codon position. The record is from RNAcentral. Lineage: Bacteria; Candidatus Sungiibacteriota.
GGAGGGUUGGCAGAAUGGCUAAUGCGCUGGUCUUGAAAACCAGUGGGAGAAAUCCCUUGCAGGUUCGAGUCCUGCACCCUCCG